UCAUCACCUUUUACCCGCAUCAACCUCAAGAGGACACAAGAGAAGGACACAUACCAGCCAACAACAACUGGGUGUGUCCAUUUAUUUUAAGGUACAGCUUGUUGCUGAGAGCUUUGUGUUGUCUUGCCUCUCUUAAAUCCUCUUAAAGGUUGAACAAACAACUGAUGAGCUAUGCUGUGAAUGAAGCGCAUGAGCUCAACCAAAAUGCUUUUAUAAAAUUUACCUCAAGGAAGGAUGAGGCUGAGGUGUUGACCCCAAUGAGCCCCAACAACCACUGAAAGAAGGAGAUGUAAUAGGCCUAAUCGCAGAGCUGGCAGUUCGGCAGAGCGGAGCAUGAAGGAUUUGCUGAGCAGGCUACUUACGUAAGAAGACCUCCAGGGGCAGACAUGGACCUCUCCGCCCGUCGGCCCUGACACUCAAAGGGAUUACUGAAAGACCUCUUCCUCAGCAUAGACUUCACCAGAAUCUGAAGUGGACAUCAGAGAGAGUCUGAAUGAAAAUACAAACCUUUUCCAUAUUGCCAUUAACACUAAAAUAUACACUUGUAUUUUUCUAUAUGAUAUGCCAUUAAAAAUUCCAUUAAUGUC
Molecule: long non-coding RNA, 587 nt
Organism: Micropterus dolomieu (smallmouth bass)
Lineage: Eukaryota; Metazoa; Chordata; Actinopteri; Centrarchiformes; Centrarchidae
Exons: 2
Source: RefSeq, a predicted model, not a curated record